GAAGACGGACACGCUAGGACACGUGAUAGAGACGAUCGUAUUAGCCGAGGUGCACAGGCUGGUCGUCGUCGACCUUCAAGGUCGCGUAGAGGGCGUCAUCUCGCUCUCCGACAUCCUCUCCUUCCUCGUUCUCGUGCCGCACGACGAAGACGACGACGCCGCUGCAGGGGGCGCCACCGUCAAGCCGCCGCUGAAGAUACACAUCGGCGGCGACGACGACGACGAGGGAACCGACCAGGAGGGCGGCUGCAGUAGCGGAGGAGGAGGAGGAGGAGGAGGAGGAGGAGGAGGAGGAGGAGGAGGAGGGAAGUCGCCACGCGUGGCCACCGCGUGAGAAGAAUAACGCAUGACGGCAUCGCGCAGCACCGGCGCCCCCUGUGUGCGGCGUCACGAGCGACUCGCCAGCGCAAGACAAACCUCCAUGCUGCAGCGGAGAGUAGCGCGGGCUGUCGACAUGUGGCGCCAUCUCUCGGAGCGAAUGGGAACCGGUUCGGUCGCUGAGGUCCGAAGGUCCACUGUUUGCUGUGAAGUUUUUUUUUCUGCGCACGAAUGAAAUCGCGCUUCGGUGAAAUUUCGUGCGCGCUUUGUGCUGCACUAGGUGUCGCCGGCUCCGCGGAGGUUUGCUACGAUCGACGUGUCUUUUCGCGUAAGCCUAACACUCAGCCUCUCUCUCUGUAACCUUAAGUUUUGCUCCUAACUACCUUCAACUCAAACUUUUUUUCUGUUGUCGAGAUUUGAGAGCGCUAUUCGGUCCAUCCUGUGCAUAACCGCCACUCGAUGGGACAUGCCAAAAGUGGCCUUUAUCGACAGGUGGCCUUUCUGUAGAGGCGGUCGCUAACAUGACCGUAUCUACGCUGAUCUCGCUUGCUUGUGCGCCGCAUGUUUCCCCCGCACCACGCGAGAUUGCAUUUUACGUGAUUGCUACGCCCUUUCGACGUGAGUUUUUAUUUAAUAGACGCGAUCUCCAAGUACAAAUCUCAACCCCUCCUCUCACGCUAACACUAACGUGAACGCUAGGGAAUUCGACUCUAACCUUAACCCUUUCUUAAUGGGAAUUAAUUAUCGUUGAUAGGAAAACUUUCGCUAGCCGGCGGUGUCUACUCAUUUCACCUGUAGUGCGUGUGCGCGCGCUCCCUCUGUCAUUUUAAUAGCUGAUAUACACGUGUACAGAUGUUUUGAGCAAAAUAAAAAUGGUACUCGACAUAAACGUUGCGCUCUCUUGCAUUACCAAACUUGAGUCGGUGAGCCUUGACCUUCGGACCUGAUGACCUUUGAACCGGUGACCCCUCGGAGUGGCGUGCGAUCGGGGCCUUGCUGGGCAGGGUUGGCUAGUCCCCUUACCCAGCACCCGGCAUCGCUAGACAGUGUGUACCGGAACUGACAGCUGCGCAACGGACUCGUUGCUAUGGCAACUCAAAUGACUGUCUAUACAGCAACUCGAUUGACUGUCGCUAUGGUAGCACGUUCGAUCGUCGCUACGGCGACGCCAAUGACAAUCGCCGAUGCAACUCGGUCAGCCGUCGCUACGGCAACAGGGAAGACAAUUACUGAUGCAACUCGAUCGACCGUCGCUACGGCAACAAGGAAGACAAUCACUGAUGCAACUUGGUUGUCCAUCGCUACGGCAACUCGCUCGACCAUUGCUACGGCAAUAAAAAAGACAGUCGCUGCUGCAACUUCGUUGUCUGUUGCUAAGACAACACGAUAGACCGUCGCUACAGCAACUUGAUCGACCGUCGCUAUGGCAACUUGAUUGACCGUCGCUACGGCAACCCCAUUGACUAUUGCCACGGCGCACGUGUGGAGAUUGUUGCGUGUGUAGUGCGUAGCAUCAGGGGGCAGACGGCGUUUGAUCGGCAGCUUCCCAGCAUCUUCCUCAUCCUUGUGUUGAUUAGCUAAUUAGCCGCGACAAUUGGGUCGCUACGUGACGCCGCUCGGCGCUGAAGCGACGCGUGACAAGUGAACAUCCCGACCGUGCCCUCUGCUUCUGUUGUCGCUUUGUUAUUGUAAGCAUGAAUACAGAAGAUUGCGAGGGUAGUGUGUGUAGAUGCGUGCGUGCGUGCGUGUGUGCGUUCUUGCGUGCGUGCGUGGGUGUGUGUGUGCGUG
Long non-coding RNA from Priapulus caudatus, 2106 nucleotides. RefSeq lists it as uncharacterized. The transcript is spliced from 4 exons. The record is from RefSeq and is a predicted model, not a curated record. NCBI's taxonomy places the organism in Eukaryota, Metazoa, Priapulida, Priapulimorpha, Priapulimorphida, Priapulidae.